AGGACUUGACAUUUGCAUGACCGGUAUAGAGAUAUACCUUUACCUUCGGGUACAUGUAAACAGGUGCUGCAUGGCUGUCGUCAGCUCGUGUUGUGAGAUGUUGGGUUAAGUCCCGCAACGAGCGCAACCCCUACUGUUAGUUGCCAUCAGGUUAAGCUGGGCACUCUAGCGGAACUGCCGGUGACAAACCGGAGGAAGGUGGGGAUGACGUCAAGUCCUCAUGGCCCUUAUGUCCUGGGCUACACACGUGCUACAAUGGGUUGUACAAAGGGUAGCGAGACUGCGAAGUUAAGCCAAUCCCAAAAAGCAAUCCGUAGUUCGGAUUGGAGUCUGCAACUCGACUCCAUGAAGU
Molecule: ribosomal RNA, 352 nt
Filed under: uncultured bacterium
Lineage: Bacteria
Description: bacterial SSU rRNA
Rfam family: Bacterial small subunit ribosomal RNA
Source: RNAcentral